This is a long non-coding RNA of Haliotis rufescens (red abalone), 446 nucleotides long. RefSeq lists it as uncharacterized. The transcript is spliced from 3 exons. The record is from RefSeq and is a predicted model, not a curated record. NCBI's taxonomy places the organism in Eukaryota, Metazoa, Mollusca, Gastropoda, Lepetellida, Haliotidae.
UGACAUCCUGUUGUGGUGUCAGAAUGGUAUAUAAAGCGGCCUAUUGGCACUCAUCAUCACUUGUGUCUAUGGCAAGCAAACUGAACAUUCUUUUCGAACGGGUUUGAGAUUCAUCUUUUUCUCAGCAACAAUCUGUUAACAACAGACAUACAUCAUAACACCAACAUGAAGUUCACAAUCGCCCUUCUGUUGAUUCUGCCCAUGGUUAUCAUAGCAAUGGUGGAUGCAAACCGAAUGAGCUGUGUCAUCUGUCAGAGUAAAUGCGCCAUCAGCGCGUGUGUUGAAAUUAACAAAUGCGUCGACGGAAGAGGAAAUGACUGUAAGAACUAUAUCAACAGAGCCUCUGUGCCCCCUUGCGUCGGGAAGGAGCUGACAAAAAGACGCAAGUGUCUCGAUGAUUGCCAGUGUUAAGUUUCAAAAGAGAAAAGUAAACAUGACUGUCUUUA